This 1453-nucleotide long non-coding RNA is filed under the name Salvia miltiorrhiza (redroot sage). RNAcentral's name for it is "long non-coding RNA (SMIL_LNC012025)". Lineage: Eukaryota; Viridiplantae; Streptophyta; Magnoliopsida; Lamiales; Lamiaceae. The record is from RNAcentral.
AGGAUUUUAUAAUUAAUGCAAUUUAAAUUUGAAAUAAAUUGUGUUAUUUAAAUUUGAGCAAUUAAAUUUAAAUGAAAAACAUAAAAUCAAAACUAAUAUUAUCAAGUAGGCUAUCAAGGAACCCCAAUGCAGCACUACCUACUCAAUAACACAAACACUAUCAAGUAGGCUAUCAAGUAGGCUAUCAAAGAACCCCCAAUGCGGAUGCUCUAAGGGCUGAAAAUCAUUUAUAUUUUAUACACUUAAGAGUGUUUUUAUUCUAGCCAAUAUAUAUAUACUCCAUUAUAAACCGGUUCAAAUAUUUAUCGCUCUAUUUUUGUUUUGUUUUUUAUAUUAGAGUUAAUUGUCUCUAAAUUCAUAAAUUUUGGUUGAUUUCCGUUUUUUCCCAGAAUCUUUGAAUGUUCGAUUUAAAACCAUCAACUAUCAAUUUUUCCCAAUUUUUCCAUGAAGCACAUUUCUGGCAAAAAUUGAACACACAUAAAGUCGAAAUUUGCCGACAUGGACACGUCAUAAAUUACUAAACAACGUGUCGUAUUUCUAAUAGAAACGACAUCGUUUCUAGUGCGUAUUUUCUAAUAGAAACGACAUCGUUUAACCCUCGAAUUUAUAAAUAUAAAGAUGAAACAAACUAAUUUGGCGUGGCUUAAUUUUAUUACAGCUAAAGUAGGUAAUCGACCUCCAAGUCCAGCGUAUAGAUGCGAGUCGGGGUGCUGUGGAAGUGGAGCUGAAAUUGAAUUGGAUUUUUGCCGUUGCUGCCGUUAAACUGCUCAAAAAUCCCCAUACAACUCAUUUAAUUAAUUCCUACCUUUUCUUGUUGUGCAAAUGAUGUUCACCAUCUUGUUUUAGGAAAUGUAAUAUCACUCAGAUAUGAAUUAAUUCUCAGUUCAUUUGAUAUUUCAUUGCUGGAACCUAUAGAAUAUGGUAUCGAAUGAAGAUCUUUCUUAUAUCCCAGAUUCAAUGCGUGAGCAAGAUGAGGCUCAUCAUGUUAUGGAUCAUUGCUUGGAAAGAUCCUAGAAGAUGUCGGUUGAGCAAUUACUAAGGUUAUGGGAAUAAGAAAGUUGCAAGCCCGAUUUAUAUGCAAGGUUGACGAUGCUCUCCUACUCUUCUGGCUAAUAAAGCAUUUCACCUCAUGUUGUGACAUAUAAUUUGAUAAUGCAAUUUAAGGUGAUAUGAUGAUAUGAAGCUCAAAACAUAUUAAAGGAGAUUGUGCCAAAACUUGAACAUUACAUAGUAGUAUAUAUUAUUAUUGGUUGGGUUUUUUUGAAGUUUGGAAAGGGAAUUGAAUCCAUUGUUGUUUUGAUUUGGGUAAUGAGUUAAUCGUUAUCCUUACUUGAGGGUGGUACGUAACCCAAUUUGUUACCCCUCAAAAUAGAGGAGAACCAAAAGAAAGGAAGUUAUUUACUAGUGAUUCUUUUCCAUUGUAAAAUGAAACACUCAAUAAAAGUAACAAUUA